CAGCCGCCACGGUAAUACGGAGGGUGCAAGCGUUAAUCGGAAUUACUGGGCGUAAAGCGCACGCAGGCGGUCUGUCAAGUCAGAUGUGAAAUCCCCGGGCUUAACCUGGGAACUGCAUUUGAAACUGGCAGGCUAGAGUCUUGUAGAGGGGGGUAGAAUUCCAGGUGUAGCGGUGAAAUGCGUAGAGAUCUGGAGGAAUACCGGUGGCGAAGGCGACUAUCUGGGCCAACACUAACACUGAGGCACGAAAGCGUGGGGAGCAAACAGGAUUAGAUACCCCGGUAGUCCCUGUCUCUUAUAC
This 301-nucleotide ribosomal RNA is filed under the name uncultured bacterium. RNAcentral describes it as "partial 16S ribosomal RNA". It matches the Rfam family "Bacterial small subunit ribosomal RNA", at positions 509 to 807 of the family's 1533-position model. The record is from RNAcentral.